Molecule: ribosomal RNA, 486 nt
Filed under: uncultured bacterium
Lineage: Bacteria
Description: partial 16S ribosomal RNA
Rfam family: Bacterial small subunit ribosomal RNA
Source: RNAcentral
AUUGAACGCUGGCGGCAUGCCUUACACAUGCCAGUCGAACGGCAGCACGGGUGCUUGCACCUGGUGGCGAGUGGCGCACGGGUGAGUAAUACAUCGGAACAUGUCCUGUAGUGGGGGAUAGCCCGGCGAAAGCCGGAUUAAUACCGCAUACGAUCUACGGAUGAAAGAGGGGGACCUUCGGGCCUCGCGCUAUAGGGUUGGCCGAUGGCUGAUUAGCUAGUUGGUGGGGUAAAGGCCUACCAAGGCGAAGAUCAGGAGCUGGUCUGAGAGGACGAUCAGCCAGCCUGGGACUGAGGCACGGCCCAGACUCCUACGGGAAGCAGCAGUGGGGAAUUUUGGACAAUGGGCGAGAGCCUGAUCCAGCAAUGCCGCGUGUGUGAAGAAGGCCUUCGGGUUGUAAAGCACUUUUGUCCGGAAAGAAAUCCUUGGCCAUAAGACGGUCGGGGGAUGACGGUACCGGAAGAAUAAGCACCGGCUAACUACGUG